AAGGGCACCACAAGAACGCGUGGAGCAUGUGGCUUAAUUUGACUCAACGCGGGAAAUCUUACCGGGUCCGGACACACUGAGGAUUGACAGACAAUCAUGUAUUUUUACGUAUUUAUACGUAAUAUACAUCAAAUAAAGAUGCUAGUUCUUUCAUGAUUAUGUGAUAGGUGGUGCAUGGCCGUUCUUAGUUCGUGGAGUGAUCUGUCUGCUUAAUUGCGUUUCACAAUUAAAAUACGAAUAUACGCAUUAUAGAUUGCUUGACCCCAUCCUUUACUGGGUGCGCUGUGUCUCGUAUCUUAUAUAUGCAUUCGUUAUUUCGAAAGCAACGAACGUGACCGUAUCCUUUUGUUAUAUACACUAUACGUAUAUUUAAAAACUAAAGGGACCGCUGUUUCUUUCUUAAACCAGAGGAAGGUUACGGCAAUAACAGGUCUGUGAUGCCCUUAGAUGUUCCGGGCUGCACACGUGCUACAAUGAUUAUUUCAGUAAGUAUCUAAAUCAAAAGCAUGUAUAGUGCAUUACGUAUAUUUUAUAUACGUAUAUACACACAUCAAAUCCUACCUCGAAAGUUAGGUGGGCAAUCAAUUAGAAGUAAUGAUUUCCUUAAAAUUAUUUGUACAAAAAUAUACAGCGUAUUCAUAUCCCAUAAAGAUAUUUUAUAUCUGCAUGCGUGUGUAUGAUACGUAUAUUUCCUAUACAUAGGUUAUAUAUUCUGUAUGUACAAUUGUUAAUUCAUGGUGGGGACAGACCAUUGUUAAUUAUUGGUCUCGGUCUUAACUAGGAAUGCCUUGUACGGGUCUUUGGUUCAUCAAACCACCCGGAAUACGUCCCUGCCCUUUGUACACACCGCCCGUCGCUCUUACCGAUGAACUUUACUAUGAAUUUGAGGGAUUUUAUUCAUUUAAAAAAACUUAAAUGAAUAGUGUGGUUUAAAGGAAAGAGAAGUCGAACAAGGCA
This 957-nucleotide ribosomal RNA is filed under the name Cribrorotalia sp. 17611. RNAcentral's name for it is "bacterial SSU rRNA". It matches the Rfam family "Eukaryotic small subunit ribosomal RNA", at positions 1160 to 1801 of the family's 1831-position model. Lineage: Eukaryota; Foraminifera; Rotaliida; Notorotaliidae. The record is from RNAcentral.